This 292-nucleotide ribosomal RNA is filed under the name uncultured ammonia-oxidizing bacterium MPN20-DF-NFNT-A. Its description in RNAcentral is "partial 16S ribosomal RNA". It matches the Rfam family "Bacterial small subunit ribosomal RNA", at positions 202 to 490 of the family's 1533-position model. Lineage: Bacteria; Pseudomonadati; Pseudomonadota; Betaproteobacteria; Nitrosomonadales; Nitrosomonadaceae. The record is from RNAcentral.
AAAGACCUUAUGCUUUUGGAGCGGCCGAUGUCUGAUUAGCUAGUUGGUAAGGUAAAGGCUUACCAAGGCGACGAUCAGUAGUUGGUCUGAGAGGACGACCAGCCACACUGGGACUGAGACACGGCCCAGACUCCUACGGGAGGCAGCAGUGGGGAAUUUUGGACAAUGGGCGCAAGCCUGAUCCAGCAAUGCCGCGUGAGUGAAGAAGGCCUUCGGGUUGUAAAGCUCUUUCAGUCGAGAAGAAAAAACUAUGACUAAUAAUUAUAGUUCAUGACGGUAUCGACAGAAGAAG